GCUUGAAAACAUAAUAAAGGAAAAUCACAAUGAUAUCAACCUUCUUGAAUUUAAAAAUUGGUAGGCAACUGGCUUCUAAAUUUUUUGAGCCUCUACCAUUGGAAGGAUAUACACAAGUUAAAAUAUAGAAAAGGCUCAUCUACCUGGGCCAUUGCAUUGUUUUCCACUCAAGAAAAUGUCCUGCUCUUCUUAUAGUCUUUAGCUACUGAUGGUGAACGGUUUUGUUAUCCUCUUUAGAUACUGAUG
This 246-nucleotide long non-coding RNA is filed under the name Solanum tuberosum (potato). RNAcentral's name for it is "long non-coding RNA (STUB_LNC000018)". The record is from RNAcentral. Lineage: Eukaryota; Viridiplantae; Streptophyta; Magnoliopsida; Solanales; Solanaceae.